Molecule: transfer-messenger RNA, 333 nt
Filed under: Alkalicella caledoniensis
Lineage: Bacteria; Bacillati; Bacillota; Clostridia; Eubacteriales; Proteinivoracaceae
Description: Clostridiales bacterium LB2 transfer-messenger RNA
Rfam family: transfer-messenger RNA
About the family: Bacterial tmRNA, also known as 10Sa RNA or SsrA, is named for its dual tRNA and mRNA-like properties. Its role is to liberate the mRNA from a stalled ribosome. To accomplish this part of the tmRNA is used as a reading frame that ends in a translation stop signal.
Source: RNAcentral
GGGUCAAGAUGGGAGUAGCGAGCCGUGGGCCAGGGCCACGUUAAUAACUGGAAACUUAAAUUAAACGCUAAAACAAACAAUAAUUUAGCUUUCGCUGCAUAGUCAGCGGACGUCUUACCACUAGUUUGUCUGUGACUGGUGACUAAGACGAAAACAAAUAGCAGACUACUUACCAAAGUUGCUUCGACUUGGUAGGGAAACUUAGAAGCUAGCAACUUUAAGAUUUUGUCUUUAGAAGCUUAGAGAAGCGAAACCCUAAAAUAGAGACUGCGCUCGGAGAGACUGCUGUUAAGAUACCUUCGGACGGGGGUUCGACUCCCCCCGCCUCCACCA